UGUGUCUUAUUAAAUUAAACCAAAUGAGUUGGGGGUGGGGGAUGUCAUUAGCUGGAGAGAUCUCUAAGGGCUUUUCUUCACUUGGAGCACUCCACUCUUAAUAUGCUAAACCAAAUAGAUGGCUUUGUAGAGACAGGGAAAGAAUAAACCAUUGUGAUGACUGACAUGUCUUCUUAGGGUCCAUUUAGUUUAACAAUAAUUUUCUAAUAUACCAAAUCAUCAGGGAUCAUGACAAAAAAUGACUUGUUUUGAAAGGACUCUGGUUACAUUGUUUCUGGCCUUUGCUUACUACUAACAAUUUAAUCAGAAGCUGGAGCCAGCAGGGAUGUGGCAGACAAAGUCUAGUCUCUGACACAAAAAUGCUAAAGUACUUUGGGGGAUGGUGAUGGGAAAGCUUAGAAGCAGACAAAGUGCAGGCCUCCUUAAAACUAAACACCUGAGAGAAAAUUUCAAGAGCAUGGUGUCUUGAAAGCUCAGAAAGAAAGUGUCCCUUGAGUAUUAAAUAACCAUAAUCCUUUUUUUCCCAUUUGAUGUUUCCCAUCCCAGUGACCUAUCUAAGAGUCUCAUCCAUAUGAUCUACAUAAACAGACUGUUACCAUACACCUCACUUUACCUCAUCAAAGCUUCAGCUAGAUGUCUGGAAUGAAGCACUGACGAUGGUAGCCAUCAAGCAUGCGGUGGUGAAAGUUAUAAAACAUCCGCCGCAGUGCUAGCAGUGCUGCCCGUGUUUUAGAGAUCAGUCUAUUGUGUACUUUAGAAUUACAUGAGAAAAAUGUGCUUGGACAGGAAAUAAUUAGUGCUUGUCAAAGGGCAGGCAAUAGGCUACAGUAUUUUACUUUCAGCAGGCUAUCAGGGGAUCAGCUAGAUUAGAUAAUAGAUUUUUUUUUCCUCUGGAAGUUAAGUACAGAUGACUCUAAUUACCUUACAUUGCACAUUAGAGAGCACAUUAUGAACAGUACAACUUGAAGAAAUUUAGGUCGACUAAGAGAGUAGCUGGCAAAAACUUUACUGUACUCUUAGAAUAAUGUAGCCAUUUUAUUGUUUCAGCAGGUUCACUUGUGGCACUGAUACUUUAAUUUAAAAAAAACAAAAACAAAAAACAAAACCAUGGAACAGUAAAAAAAAAAAAAAAAAAAAAAAGAAAAGAAAAAAAAAAGAAAAA
Gopherus flavomarginatus (Mexican gopher tortoise) is the source of this 1162-nucleotide long non-coding RNA. RefSeq lists it as uncharacterized. The record is from RefSeq and is a predicted model, not a curated record. NCBI's taxonomy places the organism in Eukaryota, Metazoa, Chordata, Testudines, Testudinidae. The transcript is spliced from 2 exons.